This 826-nucleotide ribosomal RNA is filed under the name uncultured Polaribacter sp. Its description in RNAcentral is "bacterial SSU rRNA". It matches the Rfam family "Bacterial small subunit ribosomal RNA", at positions 37 to 863 of the family's 1533-position model. The record is from RNAcentral. Lineage: Bacteria; Pseudomonadati; Bacteroidota; Flavobacteriia; Flavobacteriales; Flavobacteriaceae.
UAGCGGCAGGCUUAACACAUGCAAGUCGAGGGGUAACAUUGUAGCUUGCUACAGAUGACGACCGGCGCACGGGUGCGUAACGCGUAUAGAACCUACCUUUUACUGGAGAAUAGCCUUUAGAAAUGAAGAUUAAUGCUCCAUGGUAUUGAGACUUGGCAUCAAGUUUUAAUUAAAGAUUUAUUGGUAAAAGAUGGCUAUGCGUCCUAUUAGUUAGAUGGUAAGGUAACGGCUUACCAUGACAUCGAUAGGUAGGGGUCCUGAGAGGGAGAUCCCCCACACUGGUACUGAGACACGGACCAGACUCCUACGGGAGGCAGCAGUGAGGAAUAUUGGGCAAUGGAGGCAACUCUGACCCAGCCAUGCCGCGUGCAGGAAGACGGCCCUAUGGGUUGUAAACUGCUUUUAUACAGGAAGAAACACUGGUAUGUAUACCAGCUUGACGGUACUGUAAGAAUAAGGACCGGCUAACUCCGUGCCAGCAGCCGCGGUAAUACGGAGGGUCCGAGCGUUAUCCGGAAUCAUUGGGUUUAAAGGGUCCGCAGGCGGUCAAUUAAGUCAGAGGUGAAAUCCCAUAGCUCAACUAUGGAACUGCCUUUGAUACUGGUUGACUUGAGUCAUAUGGAAGUAGAUAGAAUGUGUAGUGUAGCGGUGAAAUGCAUAGAUAUUACACAGAAUACCGAUUGCGAAGGCAGUCUACUACGUAUGUACUGACGCUGAGGGACGAAAGCGUGGGGAGCGAACAGGAUUAGAUACCCUGGUAGUCCACGCCGUAAACGAUGGAUACUAGUUGUUUGGCAUUAGCUAAGUGACUAAGCGAAAGUGAUAA